UCGCAGUGAUGACGUUUAUUCCUGCCAUUCGUAGUUUCCACCAGAGGUCGCAAGACCAAAGAUGGCCCAAAUCCUUCCUUGGAUGUCUGAGCGA
Molecule: small nucleolar RNA, 94 nt
Organism: Dicentrarchus labrax (European seabass)
Lineage: Eukaryota; Metazoa; Chordata; Actinopteri; Moronidae
Gene: SNORD14
Rfam family: Small nucleolar RNA SNORD14
About the family: U14 small nucleolar RNA (U14 snoRNA) is required for early cleavages of eukaryotic precursor rRNAs. In yeasts, this molecule possess a stem-loop region (known as the Y-domain) which is essential for function.
Source: Ensembl